Molecule: ribosomal RNA, 497 nt
Filed under: uncultured bacterium
Lineage: Bacteria
Description: partial 16S ribosomal RNA
Rfam family: Bacterial small subunit ribosomal RNA
Source: RNAcentral
GAUGAACGCUGGCGGCGUGCCUAAUACAUGCAAGUCGAGCGAACAGACGAGGAGCUUGCUCCUCUGACGUUAGCGGCGGACGGGUGAGUAACACGUGGAUAACCUACCUAUAAGACUGGGAUAACUUCGGGAAACCGGAGCUAAUACUGGAUAAUAUAUUUAACCGCAUGGUUCAAUAGUGACAGACGGUUUUGCUGUCACUUAUAGAUGGAUCCGCGCCGCAUUAGCUAGUUGGUAAGGUAACGGCUUACCACGGCAACGAUGCGUAGCCGACCUGAGAGGGUGAUCGGCCACACUGGAACUGAGACACGGUCCAGACUCCCACGGGAGGCAGCAGUAGGGAAUCUUCCGCAAUGGGCGAAAGCCUGACGGAGCAACGCCGCGUGAGUGAUGAAGGUCUUCGGUUCGUAAAACUCUGUUAUUAGGGAAGAACAAAUGUGUAAGUAACUAUGCACGUCUUGACGGUACCUAAUCAGAAAGCCACGGCUAACUACGUG